RNAcentral lists this unclassified non-coding RNA (21 nucleotides) under Mus musculus (house mouse). Its description in RNAcentral is "oocyte_clustered_small_RNA10996". Lineage: Eukaryota; Metazoa; Chordata; Mammalia; Rodentia; Muridae. The record is from RNAcentral.
CUUAGAUGAGAUGCCCGUGUC